CGGACGGGUGAGUAAUGUAUGGGGAUCUGCCUGAUGGCGGGGGAUAACUACUGGAAACGGUAGCUAAUACCGCAUAAUGUCUGCGGACCAAAGCGGGGGACCUCCGGGCCUCGCGCCAUCAGAUGAACCCAUAUGGGAUUAGCUAGUAGGUAAGGUAACGGCUUACCUAGGCGACGAUCCCUAGCUGGUCUGAGAGGGUGAUCAGCCACACUGGGACUGAGACACGGCCCAG
This 232-nucleotide ribosomal RNA is filed under the name uncultured bacterium. RNAcentral describes it as "partial 16S ribosomal RNA". It matches the Rfam family "Bacterial small subunit ribosomal RNA", at positions 99 to 334 of the family's 1533-position model. The record is from RNAcentral.